CUUGGGGGAAUGUAUAGCAAUUGCUAUUUGCACUAAUGUUAUUAGUGUAAAAUUAACUACGUUGAAUAAAAUUCUGGAUAGAAUUAUGAUAAUGACAUUAUCUGUUCAUAAGUCUUGACCAAAUUACGUGCCAGCAGUCGCGGUAAUACGUAGAAGACAAGUGUUAUUCAUCUUUAAUAGGUUUAAAGCGUACUUAGACAGUAAAUAAAGCCUCCAAAAGGGACUAGUUUUCUAGAGUUUUAUAUGAAGGGGUUUUAAAGUACUACUGGUGUAGAGAUGAAAUUCCGUUAUACCUUAAAUGGCACAGGUUAAGGCGAAAGCAUCCUCUUAUGUAAAAACUGACGUUGAAGGACGAAGGCUUUGUGUCUCGAACAGGAUUAGAUACCCUAGUAGUCUAAGCAGAAAAUGAUGAAUGUCAUAGAUUAGAUUUAAUUUGAUCUAUAAAUGAAAGUGUAGGCAUUCCACCUCAAGAGUAAUUUGGCAACAUUGGAACUGAAAUCAUUAGACCGUUUCUGAAACCAGUAGUGAUGUAUGUUGUUUAAUUUGAUAACCCGCAAAAAACCUUACCACGAUUUGAAUAGAUAUAUUUUAUCAUACAAGCGUUGCACGGCUGUCUUCAGUUAAUGUCGUAAGACUUUGGUUAGUUCCUUUAAAUUAACGUAAACCCUUACUUUAUUUUUAUAUAAAGUAGUUCACCGCUAUAUUGGAUGUGAUAAUAGGGAUCAAGACAAGUCAUCAUGGCCUAAAUAUCGUGGGCUA
RNAcentral lists this ribosomal RNA (759 nucleotides) under Ovealmbornia volkmarwirthii. RNAcentral's name for it is "mitochondrial SSU rRNA". It matches the Rfam family "Bacterial small subunit ribosomal RNA", at positions 352 to 1216 of the family's 1533-position model. Lineage: Eukaryota; Fungi; Ascomycota; Lecanoromycetes; Teloschistales; Teloschistaceae. The record is from RNAcentral.